AUUGAACGCUGGCGGCAUGCUCUACACAUGCAAGUCGAACGGUAACAGGCCGCAAGGUGCUGACGAGUGGCGAACGGGUGAGUAAUGCAUCGGAACGUGCCCAGUCGUGGGGGAUAACUACUCGAAAGAGUAGCUAAUACCGCAUACGAUCUAUGGAUGAAAGCGGGGGACCGUAAGGCCUCGCGCGAUUGGAGCGGCCGAUGUCAGAUUAGGUAGUUGGUGGGGUGAAGGCUCACCAAGCCAACGAUCUGUAGCUGGUCUGAGAGGACGACCAGCCACACUGGGACUGAGACACGGCCCAGACUCCUACGGGAGGCAGCAGUGGGGAAUUUUGGACAAUGGGCGCAAGCCUGAUCCAGCAAUGCCGCGUGCAGGAAGAAGGCCUUCGGGUUGUAAACUGCUUUUGUACGGAACGAAACGGCUCUGGUUAAUACCCGGGGCUAAUGACGGUACCGUAAGAAUAAGCACCGGCUAACUACGUG
RNAcentral lists this ribosomal RNA (482 nucleotides) under uncultured bacterium. RNAcentral's name for it is "partial 16S ribosomal RNA". It matches the Rfam family "Bacterial small subunit ribosomal RNA", at positions 30 to 507 of the family's 1533-position model. The record is from RNAcentral.